GGUCAUAUCACAUUGAAACACCGGUUCUUUACCGAUUACCGAAGUUAAGCAUGGUCGAGCUUGGUUAGUACCUAGAUGGGUGAUGACUUGAGAAUUCUUGGUUGC
Non-coding RNA from Acanthosepion pharaonis, 105 nucleotides. The record is from the annotation of a GenBank genome assembly. Lineage: Eukaryota; Metazoa; Mollusca; Cephalopoda; Sepiida; Sepiidae.